AAGAGACUCCAGGGUUGGGGUGGAGCCCUAGAGAGUACUUCAAAUGCGUUAAUUCCAGAGUUUGAAAAAACAUUUGAGACAAAGAUCUGAGGCUUUGUGGAGGAUGUCCAGGGCACAUUCUAGAGAGGAAUGUGUUUAGAAAUAGGACAAAGUCGGGAAGAAUGGCUAUACUUGACCAGAUAGAAAAAAAUGUCUAUCCUCAAGACAAUCUCAUCAGUUUCCUUAGUGGGGAAUGUGCCCUGGCUAAUUGAUUCACAGGGUCACUUUGAAACAAAAAAAUCAAAUGUCAUCCAGACAACUGAUAUAUGUAGCAGUCAGCGAACAGGUUUACAAAACAAACCUGGUUCUAGGCCAUCAGCAGCCAAGGACCCAGAAUUUUGAUCCUUACUCAGUAAAUAUGCUAUUUGGUUUAGAGGAAAUGAAAAACAGGAUGAAAGAGAUAAGACACUUGGUAUCUUUCUGGAGCAGGGGAUCAAGAAAAAAAUGAAGUAAGAGUGAGGAUUGGCUGGAGGAGACUGGAAGACAAUCAGGAGACACUGAGGAGAAAAGAUACAUGAGCCAUAAAGAUGACACCUAUAAAACAUAAUGGGAAGCACUUGGGGAUAGUCCAACCCAAGGUCAAGGAUGUUCUUCCUCUGGAUGUGGAUAGUGUUCUUCCUCAUAAGUCCUCGGAAUUGUCCUGGAUCAUUGUAUUGCUGUUAGUAGCAAAGUCUAUUAUAUUUGAUUGUUCCACAAUGUUUCAUUUACUGUGUACAAUGUUUGCCUGGUUCUGCUUAUUUCACUCCACAUAAUUUCAUGUAGGUCCUUCUGGUUCUUAUAGAAAUCAAUCAUUUCGUCAUUUCUGAUAGCACAGUAGUAUUCCAU
This 864-nucleotide long non-coding RNA is filed under the name Monodelphis domestica (gray short-tailed opossum). Its description in RNAcentral is "lncRNA (ENSMODG00000045001.1)". The record is from RNAcentral. Lineage: Eukaryota; Metazoa; Chordata; Mammalia; Didelphimorphia; Didelphidae.